ACUGCUAGUGGGUGCAGGCCAUGGGGCAGCCCUGGGCGGUGGGGACCGCGGAGGCGGCUCCCGCGCGGCUGCCCCUCGUGCUCACCGCGCUUUGGGCCGCGGCGGUGGGCCUGGAGCUGGCUUACGUGUUAGUGCUAGGCCCCGGGCCACCUCCGCUGGGACCCUUGGCCCGGACCCUGCAGGUUGCGCUGGCAGCCUUCCAGCUGCUCAACCUACUGGGCAACGUGGGGCUCUUCCUGCGCUCGGACCCCAGCAUCCGGGGUGUGAUGCUGGCCGGCCGUGGUCUGGGCCAGGGCUGGGCUUACUGCUACCAGUGCCAAAGCCAGGUGCCGCCGCGCAGUGGGCACUGCUCCGCCUGCCGUAUCUGUAUCCUCCGCCGGGACCACCACUGCCGCCUGCUGGGCCGCUGCGUGGGCUUCCGCAACUACCGGCCCUUCCUGUGUCUCCUGCUCCACGGUGCGGGCGUCCUGCUGCACGCCUCUGUGCUGCUGGGCCCGGCCCUGUCGGCCCUGCUGCGAGCCCACACACCCCUCCAUACCGCCGCCCUGCUCCUGCUGCCCUGGCUCAUGUUGCUCACAGGAAGAGUGUCUCUGGCGCAGUUCGCCCUGGCCUUCGUGACCGACACGUGCGUGGCGGGCGCGCUGUUGUGUGGGGCCGGACUGCUCUUUCACGGGAUGCUGCUGCUCAGGGGCCAGACCACGUGGGAGUGGGCUCGGGGCCAGCGCGCAUACGACCUGGGCCCCUGCCACAACCUGCAGGCAGCUCUGGGGCCCCGCUGGGUCCUUGUCUGGCUCUGGCCCUUCCUGGCCUCCCCGUUGCCAGGGGACGGGAUCACCUUUCAGACCACAGCUGACGUGGGACUCAUGGCUUCCUGACUGCAGGAAGCACCUGAGCUUGUACAAGCUGCACAAGGCGAGCAGGAGAGGGGACUCGUAACUCGUUUCAGGCCCACCCCCACCCCUAGCCUCAGAGGGAGGCAGGCUGGUACCUGAUGCCUGCUUUCAGCAACUCCCAUUGCCACCCUUGGGCUUGCCCUUGCCCAGCUUGGACUCCUAGGGUCCAGGGCUUGGGCCCUGGGAUUCAGCCUCUGUUAGUGGCCCCUGAGAACCAUGAAAGGUCUGGCAAGGGGCUGCUCAGCCUGCCUGGCUGCCCCAUUGCCAGGUUAAUAAAGUGCUCACUUGGUUCUGGGACUCCCUCCAGCUUUGUGGGUUUUUGGUCCUCCUCGGUGGCCCACGCUGCUGUUUUUGUUUCCUUCGACUGUCAGACCUGGGAACCACAGAAUGCCUGAGGGUGUGAGGAUCCAGAGCUCUGCCUCCUGUGGCCUUGGGGCAGGGGGGCUGGGGACUUGGGGUACAGCAGGCUAAGGCAGAAUGUAGUGAUCCAGGGUAUAAGAACCCGCAAUUCUUCCCCAGGUUGAGUGCUUUAUAGUGAGGAGCUUUUCAACAGCCACAACCUCACUGAACUUGCCUCCAGCUAACCCGGUACCCUGGGCAGCAAUUAUGCCAGUGAAGAACUUAACGCUGUGAGAGUUGAUGUGAAAUGGAUACGACUUCCCCGGCAGCCCAGUGGUUGAGACUCCGCGGCUCCCAAUGCAGGUGGAUACCGUGUGGUCCCUGCUGUGCCUGUCCCUGGUAGAGGACACACCGUGCUGUCUCAGUCAUUCCCUUGCUUGCUUUGUGAUUUUAUUAUAGAUGUUCUGUUUUGCAUGUUUCUUUUAUAUAAAUGAAGCUAUACCAUGUUUAUUUGACUGCAAUUUGCUUUUUCCUUUAAUACCAUGUGUCUGAGAUUUAUCCAGAUUAACAUGUGUAGCUGUAAGGCAUUCCUUUUCCUUGCUGUCUAGUGAUCCAUCAAAUAUAUAAUUUUUCUCUUUUGUCCCACUGAUCAUUUUAUCUACCUGUGUGUGUUCUCCUAAGAUCUACAGUUGGCCCUUGCUCUUCUAUAUAAAUUUUAGAAUCAGCUUGUUGCAUUCCAUCAAUAAAAACCCCUUUUAAAUUGUGAUGGAACCCAACUGAAUCUAUAUGUCA
Molecule: RNA transcript, 2024 nt
Organism: Budorcas taxicolor (takin)
Lineage: Eukaryota; Metazoa; Chordata; Mammalia; Artiodactyla; Bovidae
Gene: ZDHHC24
Gene name: zinc finger DHHC-type containing 24
Exons: 4
Source: RefSeq, a predicted model, not a curated record